This 77-nucleotide ribozyme is filed under the name Crocodylus porosus (Australian saltwater crocodile). RNAcentral's name for it is "Mammalian CPEB3 ribozyme (ENSCPRG00005014536.1)". It matches the Rfam family "Mammalian CPEB3 ribozyme". From Rfam's summary of the family: The mammalian CPEB3 ribozyme is a self cleaving RNA located in the second intron of the CPEB3 gene which belongs to a family of genes regulating messenger RNA polyadenylation. This ribozyme is highly conserved and found only in mammals. Lineage: Eukaryota; Metazoa; Chordata; Crocodylia; Crocodylidae. The record is from Rfam by way of RNAcentral.
GGUUGUAAAUACGAGGCCAUAGCAGAAGUGCUCAUGGCAUGGCCACCUCAGAUUCAAAUGAAUCUGCAAAUUCUGCU